RNAcentral lists this ribosomal RNA (244 nucleotides) under uncultured bacterium. Its description in RNAcentral is "partial 16S ribosomal RNA". It matches the Rfam family "Bacterial small subunit ribosomal RNA", at positions 88 to 334 of the family's 1533-position model. The record is from RNAcentral.
AUGGCGACCGGCGCACGGGUGAGUAACACUAUCCAACCUGCCGAUAACUCUGGAAUAGCCUUUCGAAAGAAAGAUUAAUACCGGAUGGCAUACGAAUAUCGCAUGAUAUUUUUAUUAAAGAAUUUCGGUUAUCGAUGGGGAUGCGUUCCAUUAGUUUGUUGGCGGGGUAACGGCCCACCAAGACAAUGAUGGAUAGGGGUUCUGAGAGGAAGGUCCCCCACAUUGGAACUGAGACACGGUCCAA